AGCAGCCGCGGUAAUUCCAGCUCCAAUAGCGUAUAUUAAAGUUGUUGCAGUUAAAAAGCUCGUAGUUGAAUUUCGGGGUUAGUAGGUUGGUCAUGCCUCUGGUAUGUACUGGUCUCACUGAUUCCUCCUUCCUGAUGAACCUUAAUGCCAUUAAUUUGGUGUUUUGGGGAAUUUGGACUGUUACUUUGAAAAAAUUUAGAGUGUUUAAAGCAGGCAUUUUUGCUUGAAUACAUUAGCAUGGAAUAAUAAAAUAGGACGGCAUGGUUCUAUUUUGUUGGUUUCUAGGACCACCGUAAUGAUUAAUAGGGAUAGUUGGGGGCAUUAGUAUUCAAUUGUCAGAGGUGAAAUUCUUGGAUUUAUUGAAGACUAACUACUGCGAAAGCAUUUGCCAAGGAUGUUUUCAUUAAUCAAGAACGAAAGUUAGGGGGAUCGAAGACGAUCAGAUACCGUCGUAGUCUUAACCAUAAACUAUGCCGACUAGGAAUCAGACGAUGUUAAUUUUUUAAUGACUCGUUUGGCA
This 520-nucleotide ribosomal RNA is filed under the name uncultured Glomus. RNAcentral describes it as "SSU rRNA". It matches the Rfam family "Eukaryotic small subunit ribosomal RNA", at positions 569 to 1085 of the family's 1831-position model. Lineage: Eukaryota; Fungi; Glomeromycota; Glomeromycetes; Glomerales; Glomeraceae. The record is from RNAcentral.